AAGUCGUAACAAGGUUUCCGUAGGUGAACCUGCGGAAGGAUCAUUAUUGAAAGGAGGGAGGCUGUUGCUGGUCCUCACAAGGGACAACCUGUGCACGCCUCUCUUGUCCAUUGCUUUCACACCUGUGCACCACUUGUAGGCUGAGAAAAUCGGUCUAUGUCUUUCUAUCAUUCACACCUUUUUACUUUGAAUGUAUAUCUGCUUGAAAUAAAGCAAAAAAUAUUAAUUAUACAACUUUCAACAACGGAUCUCUUGGCUCUC
Molecule: unclassified non-coding RNA, 261 nt
Filed under: air metagenome
Description: partial contains small subunit ribosomal RNA, internal transcribed spacer 1, and 5.8S ribosomal RNA
Rfam family: Eukaryotic small subunit ribosomal RNA (bases 1-46)
Source: RNAcentral